This 254-nucleotide ribosomal RNA is filed under the name uncultured bacterium. RNAcentral describes it as "partial 16S ribosomal RNA". It matches the Rfam family "Bacterial small subunit ribosomal RNA", at positions 524 to 776 of the family's 1533-position model. The record is from RNAcentral.
UACGUAGGGGGCAAGCGUUGUCCGGAUUUAUUGGGCGUAAAGAGCUCGUAGGUGGUUCGGUAAGUCGGAUGUGAAAUCUCCAGGCUCAACCUGGAGGGGUCAUUCGAUACUGCCGUGACUAGAGUUCGGUAGGGGAGUGUGGAAUUCCUGGUGGAGCGGUGAAAUGCGCAGAUAUCAGGAGGAACACCCGUAGCGAAGGCGGCACUCUGGGCCGAUACUGACACUGAGAAGCGAAAGCAUGGGGAGCGAACAGG